GGCGGACGGGUGAGUAAUACUUAGGAAUCUGCCCAUUAGUGGGGGACAACUCGGGGAAACUCGAGCUAAUACCGCAUACGCCCUACGGGGGAAAGCGGAGGACCUUUUGGGGCUUCGCGCUAAUGGAUGAGCCUAAGUCGGAUUAGCUUGUUGGUGAGGUAAAGGCUCACCAAGGCGACGAUCCGUAGCUGGUCUGAGAGGACGAUCAGCCACACUGGGACUGAGACACGGCCCAG
RNAcentral lists this ribosomal RNA (236 nucleotides) under uncultured bacterium. RNAcentral's name for it is "partial 16S ribosomal RNA". It matches the Rfam family "Bacterial small subunit ribosomal RNA", at positions 97 to 334 of the family's 1533-position model. The record is from RNAcentral.